CCUACGGUGGGCAGCAGUGGGGGAUAUUGGACAAUGGGGGGAACCCUGAUCCAGCGACGCCGCGUGAGUGAAGAAGUAUUUCGGUAUGUAAAGCCCUGUCAGCAGGGGAGAAAGAAAUGCCGGUACCUGACCAAGAAGCCCCGGCUAACUACGUGCCAGCAGCCGCGGUAAUACGUAGGGGGCAAGCGUUAUCCGGAAUUACUGGGUGUAAAGGGAGCGUAGACGUUUAAGUAAGUCUGGGGUUAAAGGCGGGGGCCCAACCCCGGGACUGCUCUGGAAACUAUUGAACUUGAGUGCAGGAGAGGUAAGCGGAAUGCCUGGGGUAGCGGUGAAAUGCGUAGAUAUUAGGAGGAACACCAGUGGCGAAGGCGGCUUACUGGACUGUAACUGACGUUGAGGCUCGAAAGCGUGGGGAGCAAACAGGAUUAGAUACCCUUGUAGUC
This 443-nucleotide ribosomal RNA is filed under the name uncultured bacterium. RNAcentral's name for it is "partial 16S ribosomal RNA". It matches the Rfam family "Bacterial small subunit ribosomal RNA", at positions 338 to 795 of the family's 1533-position model. The record is from RNAcentral.